UUGAACGACUGGUUGAACGUUUG
This 23-nucleotide non-coding RNA is filed under the name Arabidopsis thaliana (thale cress). The record is from RNAcentral. Lineage: Eukaryota; Viridiplantae; Streptophyta; Magnoliopsida; Brassicales; Brassicaceae.